GGCGCCGUGGCCGAGUGGUUAGGCAGCGGCCUGCAAAGCCGUGUACACCGGUUCGAUUCCGGUCGGCGCCU
RNAcentral lists this transfer RNA (71 nucleotides) under Actinomycetes bacterium. RNAcentral describes it as "tRNA-Cys". It matches the Rfam family "tRNA". Rfam says of the family: Transfer RNA (tRNA) molecules are approximately 80 nucleotides in length. RNAcentral also lists the same sequence under 3 other names. Lineage: Bacteria; Bacillati; Actinomycetota; Actinomycetes. The record is from RNAcentral.